GUGAGGAAUCUUGCGCAAUGGGCGAAAGCCUGACGCAGCGACGCCGCGUGGAGGAUGAAGGUCUUCGGAUUGUAAACUCCUGUGAGGUGGGACGAAUGCCGCGAGGGUGAACAUCCCUCGCGGUUGACGGUACCAUCAGAGGAAGCCCCGGCUAACUCCGUGCCAGCAGCCGCGGUAAUACGGAGGGGGCAAGCGUUGUUCGGAAUCAUUGGGCGUAAAGGGCGCGUAGGCGGCUGACCAAGUCGGACGUGAAAUCCCUCGGCUCAACUGGGGAACUGCGUCCGAUACUGUUCAGCUUGAGUCCCGGAGAGGGUAGUGGAAUUCCCAGUGUAGCGGUGAAAUGCGUAGAUACUGGGAGGAACACCGGUGGCGAAGGCGGCUACCUGGACGGGUACUGACGCUGAGGCGCGAAAGCUAGGGGAGCAAACAGGAUUAGAUACCCCUGUAGUCC
This 451-nucleotide ribosomal RNA is filed under the name uncultured bacterium. RNAcentral describes it as "bacterial SSU rRNA". It matches the Rfam family "Bacterial small subunit ribosomal RNA", at positions 354 to 796 of the family's 1533-position model. The record is from RNAcentral.